GCGUCCUCGUGGAAACCGUGUAUAUUUAGUAUUAGGUUAGUUGGGAGGCGGGGCUUAUUUCAUACACGGUUAGUAGUGGAGUUACGUCCCUUUAUAUUCCAUAUAAGGUAAUAAGGAGGCGGGGCUUAUUUCAUACACGGUUAGUAGUGGUGUUACGUCCCUUUAGAAAAACAAAACAGUACUGAGAAAAAUUCUUAAAGGUUUCAACAGACG
RNAcentral lists this long non-coding RNA (213 nucleotides) under Mytilus galloprovincialis (Mediterranean mussel). The record is from RNAcentral. Lineage: Eukaryota; Metazoa; Mollusca; Bivalvia; Mytilida; Mytilidae.